Molecule: ribosomal RNA, 110 nt
Filed under: Combretum glaucocarpum
Lineage: Eukaryota; Viridiplantae; Streptophyta; Magnoliopsida; Myrtales; Combretaceae
Description: partial 5.8S ribosomal RNA
Rfam family: 5.8S ribosomal RNA
About the family: 5.8S ribosomal RNA (5.8S rRNA) is a component of the large subunit of the eukaryotic ribosome. It is transcribed by RNA polymerase I as part of the 45S precursor that also contains 18S and 28S rRNA. Functionally, it is thought that 5.8S rRNA may be involved in ribosome translocation.
Source: RNAcentral
GAACGCAGCGAAAUGCGAUACUUGGUGUGAAUUGCAGAAUCCCGUGAACCAUCGAGUCUUUGAACGCAAGUUGCGCCCUAAGCCUUGGCUGAGGGCACGCCUGCCUGGGU